RNAcentral lists this ribosomal RNA (476 nucleotides) under Myripristis berndti (blotcheye soldierfish). Its description in RNAcentral is "partial small subunit ribosomal RNA". It matches the Rfam family "Bacterial small subunit ribosomal RNA", at positions 788 to 1491 of the family's 1533-position model. The record is from RNAcentral. Lineage: Eukaryota; Metazoa; Chordata; Actinopteri; Holocentriformes; Holocentridae.
CACUAUGCUUAGCCAUAAACAUCGAUAGUAUUAUCACCUCACUAUCCGCCAGGGAACUACGAGCAAUAGCUUAAAACCCAAAGGACUUGGCGGUGCUUUAGACCCACUUAGAGGAGCCUGUUCUAGAACCGAUACUCCCCGUUCAACCUCACCUUUUCUUGUUUAACCCGCCUAUAUACCGCCGUCGUCAGCUUACCCUGUAAAGGCCCUAUAGUAAGCAAAAAUGAUUUAAAUCCAAAACGUCAGGUCGAGGUGUAGCGCAUGGAAAGGAAAGAAAUGGGCUACAUUCCCUGCUCCAGGGAACACGAAUAGUACACUGAAACACGUACUUGAAGGAGGAUUUAACAGUAAGCAGGAAACAGAGCGUUCUGCUGAAACUGGCCCUGAAGCGCGUACACACCGCCCGUCACUCUCCCCAAACAAACCCAUUAAACUAACAUAAACAACUACUCAUCCAAAGGGGAGGCAAGUCGUAA